Molecule: long non-coding RNA, 272 nt
Organism: Triticum dicoccoides
Lineage: Eukaryota; Viridiplantae; Streptophyta; Magnoliopsida; Poales; Poaceae
Exons: 4
Source: RefSeq, a predicted model, not a curated record
UUCCGCUUCAUUUUUAAGUUCUACCACCUUCAGCAGGUAAUAACAUAGCUCACUACAUGCAGGUCUGUCAUUGAAGUUCGCAAUGGGUUUACAUUUCUUGACCUUAUUGUGAUUUAGAUUGAGUCCCUGAACAAGAAGUAUGGAUGCAGUGUUCCUUUGCUUCUAAUGAACUCUUUCAACAAUCAUGAUGACACACAGAAGAUUAUUGAGAAGUACUCCAACUCCAACAUUGAAAUUCACACUUUCAACCAGAGCCAAUACCCUCGCAUUGU